UCGUUUUCUUCUCCCUUCGGUUUGCUGUCGUCAUUUGCGAGCGCCCGCCUCAUCUCCCCGACGCGCGCCGCCGGGCUGUUCUCCCGCCCCAUGUUGGUGGAACGCGCUACGAGCCUCCUCUCCCCGGCCGAUCCGGAUGGAGCGCGACGCCGGCCUCCUGUCCCCGACGCACGGCGGCAGCCUCCUAUCCCCGACCGAUCCGUGUGAAGCGCGGCGUCGGCCGACCUCCUCUCCCCGUCGGAUGAGGCCGCCUCCCUCUCCUCGUCCCUCUCCCGGCGGCCGGAGCGCGUGAUAGGGCGGAUCGAGGUGGGCAAUUCCACCACGACGACGAGAUUCAGAUCCGACUCCCGGCGCCAUUGCGGCCUCUGUCCCGGCGGCGUGGUCGUGGUGUGCACGAGGUCCUUCCCUUCGUUCGUGCGCGGGAAAGGCUGCUACGCCAUCGACAGCCUGCUGGUCGUCUGGGACUGACAAAGGCGACGAAGAACUGUGUAGUGUGUAUGUGCCAACAAAUCAUAUAUACAUUGGUGACAUAUUUCUGGUGAACUAUGAGGAGAUCAUACGACCUAAUUUAUCCAUUAGAGAAGGAAUUGAAAUAAUUGUUUCAGGAGGAAUGACCAUGCCCGAAAAGCCAGAACAUUCGCUUAAAUAGAAUGUGAUGAUGUAACACAAGUUACCGAUGCAACAAGAUAAAAAAUCAUCAGCAUAUUAGCCCCAUCAGUUCUGUUUUGCAUCUUUACGGACAUGGAGUUGUGCAUCAAGCAGAUAGCGCUACCUAUGGAUGGGUGACUCGGUGCUUGGAUAGGGGAACUGUCAUAGGAUGAACUUCUCAAGCGGAGAUUUGGAGGGAUCUUUUUGAGAUUUGGUCGGGGAUGAUUCUGAAUUUACCUUGUACGUAGGUUUAAUGCUAGUAUGAGAGAUGUAGGCGGGACGGACGAUCGUUUGCUAGUGAGAGUAAAUGCUCGAGGGGUUUUAGAUAGGUUCGGGCUGCACGGAGCGUAAUACUCUACUCCUGUAUGUAUGUUAUUAAUACUCUGGGAAUACCUUUCUCUGGA
Phragmites australis (common reed) is the source of this 1052-nucleotide long non-coding RNA. RefSeq lists it as uncharacterized. NCBI's taxonomy places the organism in Eukaryota, Viridiplantae, Streptophyta, Magnoliopsida, Poales, Poaceae. The record is from RefSeq and is a predicted model, not a curated record. The transcript is spliced from 3 exons.